AGCUCCAAUAGUGUAUAUUAAAGUUGUUGCAGUUAAAAAGCUCGUAGUUGGAUUUCGGAAUGUCGUAGACUAAGGUCGAUCGUAAUGAUACGUACCGAGUCUACACUUCCUUCUUUUCGGACACGUGCCAUUCUCGGCCCCAGUUGGUCGGUUUGGGUAAACACGUCCCGAAUCAUUUACUUUGAAAAAAUUAGGCUGUUCAAAGCAGGCGUAAUAUUGGCCUUGAAUACAUUAGCAUGGGAUAAUGGAAAAGGACCACUGGUCUUAUUUUCGUUGGUUUCUGAGGCUAGGGUAAUGAUUAAUAGGGAUAGUUGGGGUCACCAGUAUUUAAUUGUCAGAGGUGAAAUUCUAAGAUUUAUUAAAGACUAACUACUGCGAAAGCAUUUGACAAGGAUGUUUU
This 400-nucleotide ribosomal RNA is filed under the name phytoplankton environmental sample. Its description in RNAcentral is "partial small subunit ribosomal RNA". It matches the Rfam family "Eukaryotic small subunit ribosomal RNA", at positions 587 to 970 of the family's 1831-position model. The record is from RNAcentral.